AGGCAUGUGUUUUAUAUGCAGCCAAUCACGCUGCAUUUCCUGUCAUUUCCUGCAAGGAGUCAUCUGCAGAUGUACUAAAAUCUGCUAAGCCUUGUUUACAGCUCUAUGCGCCAUUUGUUAAAUGGCAGUUUAUAAAGUCUUGUACAAGAGGAGACCUUGGCCACAGAUUAAUGCAUCAAAAUGCAGUAAAGACGCAAGCGCUCAAACCAGCACACACUCAUGUUCCCUGGAUCACCUUCAAUGGGGCAAGGAAUACACUAGUGAAUGGGAAGAUAAGGCUAUGUCCACUCUCUUCAACCUUGUAUGCAGUUUGUACAAAGGAAUCAAGCCACCAGUCUGUACUGGAGCUCUGAAAAAAUUGGACAGAAGUUUUUCCUAGAGGAAGAGAGAAGU
Carassius gibelio (silver crucian carp) is the source of this 393-nucleotide long non-coding RNA. RefSeq lists it as uncharacterized. NCBI's taxonomy places the organism in Eukaryota, Metazoa, Chordata, Actinopteri, Cypriniformes, Cyprinidae. The record is from RefSeq and is a predicted model, not a curated record. The transcript is spliced from 4 exons.